GNGGCCUGGCGGCGUGCUACCAUGCAGUCGACGAUGAAGCCCAGCUUGCUGGGUGGAUUAGUGGCGAACGGGUGAGUAACACGUGAGUAACCUGCCCUUAACUCUGGGAUAAGCCUGGGAAACUGGGUCUAAUACCGGAUAGGAGCGCCCACCGCAUGGUGGGUGUUGGAAAGAUUUAUCGGUUUUGGAUGGACUCGCGGCCUAUCAGCUUGUUGGUGAGGUAAUGGCUCACCAAGGCGACGACGGGUAGCCGGCCUGAGAGGGUGACCGGCCACACUGGGACUGAGACACGGCCCAGACUCCUACGGGAGGCAGCAGUGGGGAAUAUUGCACAAUGGGCGCAAGCCUGAUGCAGCGACGCCGCGUGAGGGAUGACGGCCUUCGGGUUGUAAACCUCUUUCAGUAGGGAAGAAGCGAAAGUGACGGUACCUGCAGAAGAAGCACCGGCUAACUACGUGCCAGCAGCCGCGGUAAUACGUAGGGUGCGAGCGUUAUCCGGAAUUAUUGGGCGUAAAGAGCUCGUAGGCGGUUUGUCGCGUCUGUCGUGAAAGUCCGGGGCUUAACCCCGGAUCUGCGGUGGGUACGGGCAGACUAGAGUGCAAUAGGGGAGACUGGAAUUCCCUGGUGUAGCGGGU
This 635-nucleotide ribosomal RNA is filed under the name Actinomycetota bacterium. RNAcentral describes it as "bacterial SSU rRNA". It matches the Rfam family "Bacterial small subunit ribosomal RNA", at positions 31 to 683 of the family's 1533-position model. Lineage: Bacteria; Bacillati; Actinomycetota. The record is from RNAcentral.